GAUGAACGCUGGCGGCGUGCCUAAUACAUGCAAGUCGAGCGAACAGACGAGGAGCUUGCUCCUUCGACGUUAGCGGCGGACGGGUGAGUAACACGUAGGUAACCUACCUAUAAGACUGGGAUAACUUCGGGAAACCGGAGCUAAUACCGGAUAAUAUUUCGAACCGCAUGGUUCGAUAGUGAAAGAUGGCUUUGCUAUCACUUAUAGAUGGACCUGCGCCGUAUUAGCUAGUUGGUAAGGUAACGGCUUACCAAGGCAACGAUACGUAGCCGACCUGAGUGGGUGAUCGGCCACACGGGAACGGAGACACGGUCCAGACUCCUACGGGAGGCAGCAGUAGGGAAUGUGCCGCAAUGGGCGAAAGCCUGACGGAGCGACGCCGCGUGAGUGAUGAAGGUCUUCGGAUCGUAAAACUCUGUUAUUAGGGAAGAACAAACGUGUAAGUAACUGUGCACGUCUUGACGGUACCUAAUCAGAAAGCCACGGCUAACUACGUG
This 497-nucleotide ribosomal RNA is filed under the name uncultured bacterium. RNAcentral describes it as "partial 16S ribosomal RNA". It matches the Rfam family "Bacterial small subunit ribosomal RNA", at positions 28 to 507 of the family's 1533-position model. The record is from RNAcentral.